GAAAAACAUACUCAAGAUCCUGGUGGGAUGUCUGCACAGCCACCUUUGGAAGACAGUCUGACAGUUUUCUCCAAAGCUAAACAGACUCAUCAUCUAGGAUGCAAUACUGCUGCUGCCACUGCUGCCAAGUCACUCCAGUCGUGUCUGACUCUGUGCGACCCCAUAGACGGCAGCCCACCAGGUUCCGCCGUCCCUGGGAUUCUCCAGGCAAAAAUACCGGAGCAGGUUGCCAUUUCCUUCUUCAAUGCAUGAAAGUGAAAAGUGAAAGUGAAGUUGCUCAGUCGUAUCCGACUCCUAGCGACCCCAUGGACUGCAGCCCACCAGGCUCCUCCGUCCGUGGGAUUUUCCAGGGACUGCAUAAGCUGACGAAAGCUGAAGCACCAGCAGGUCCUGAGGAUCUUAGCGCAAAGAAAGCCAGAACUGGGAAGAUAAAGGGGUACAGCAGGGCCCCCACCCCGUUCCAGUCCUCCUGCUUCCCAGCCUGCUCUCUGGGCCUGGAGGAGGGUCCUCUCCGACUGGUCCGGUGUGGACACAUGGGCAGCGUCACUGUGUGGUGACAGCCGGGCACACAGGGCCCCUGGGCCACAUGCAGCCGCCCAGGGCUUCCAGGAGCCCAUGUGCAAGCGCCGGGACAGACAUCUGACACACAGACUCACCACCUAAAGUGGAAACACCUGGUUCCUGGGAAUCUGGAACUUAGCUUUUUUAAGGCCCUUUCCUUGGCCCUCGCCCUUCUGGGCUGCUGUCUCCUCCUGACUCCUCCCCCUGAGACGUGUGGCUCACAGGAGCAUCCCCAGGACCUGAGCUACUCAGCAGCUCCCACUGUGGUCCAGCCUCUCAGAGGGCCUGAUCCACCGCCUGUUGUAAACAGGGGAACUCGCCGUGGAAAGGCCCCUGCGCGACGGUCAGGAGACAGCUGCGCAGGGACGGCCACGCCCACGCCGCCUUCUCCGCCUGCCCACGCCGCCAAGGCUGCUGGGUUCACGGACUCUCUUCUCCUAGUAAGGGCUUCAGAGAUCCCCUCGGUCCUUCUGAAGUGUUCUGGAACGCGAGUGCAGGAAGCUAGCACACACUUUCCGUAUUCCGCUCCUGCAAUACGGCUCAAGCCUUUCCCCUUCACGACCGCACUGGCAGUGUCGGGAGUCACUUGGAUCAUUUUUCCGUUUAGUUGCUCUGAUUAACUCCAAGGACAACACGCCUACACGCGUCUCUAACUGGAGCAUGCACGGCCCCAGUUCCGGGCAAGAGCGACGCAAACAGUGUGUCUGUGAUACAGCUUCCUGGGGCAUCAUGUUUAUUCCCCGUGCUUUACAAGGACACCCAUUCAGCCUGAACUAACCCCACAAUGUCCCAAAGCCGAAACACCAAUGGUCCUGAGGAGACCCAUCUCCUGUCAGCUUGAAGUGAACCCCACAGUGUCCCAAGGCCAAAGCCUGAGCAGGUCCUGAGGAGGCCAGACUCCCUGUCUUCCUGAACUGAGUCUCACAAUGUCCCAAAGCUGAAGCCCCAGCGGGUCCUGAGGAGACCAGACUCCCUUCAGCCUGAACUGAACCCCACAACGUCCCAAAGCUGAAGCCCCAGCGGGUCCUGAGGAGACCAGAGACUCCCGUCAGCCUGAACUGAACCCCACAACGUCCCAAAGCUGAAACCCCAGUGGGUCCUGAGGAGACCAGACUCCAGUCAGCAGCCACAGGCAGCCAGGUGCUCAGGCAGAGCGGGAAUUCCGCUUGGGGUGCGGGUGGUCGAGGAGGCGGGCUCCUCGCUCCCUGCCAGCCAAUGGGAACUGCAGAUCAAGCCUCCCUCACUCACGCUGCUGCUGCUGCUGCUGCUGCUGCUGCUGCUGCUGCUGCUGCUGCUGCGUCGCUUCAGUCGUGUCCGACUCUGUGCGACCGCAGAGACGGCAGCCCACCAGGCUCUGCCGUCCCUGGGAUUCUCCAGGCAAGAAUACUGGAAUGGGUUGCCAUUUCCUUCUCCAAUGCAUGAAAGUGAAAAGUGAAAGUGAAGUCACUCAGUCGUGUCCGACUCUAGCGACCUCAUGGACUGCAGCCUACCAGGCUCCUCCAUCCAUGGGAUUUUCCAGGCAAGAGUACUGGAGUGGAGUGCCAUUGCUUUCUCCGCCCUCACUGGCGCAGGCACAGCUAAGUGGAGACUCCGCCCCUCGGGGCAGUUCUGCUAGGUCCAUUAAACUAUGGAAAUUCAAACUGAAAUAUUGCCAAUAUCCAAAACUUCUCCAAAAUAGUUAAGGAAUAAUUAACUUGAAACUGUAUAGAAUGAAACGUAGUCACCAAAUUCUCUCAAAUUUAUUAACAGACAUUUAAAAUUUGAAACUAUCAAAAU
Long non-coding RNA from Bos taurus (domestic cattle), 2337 nucleotides. The record is from Ensembl. Lineage: Eukaryota; Metazoa; Chordata; Mammalia; Artiodactyla; Bovidae.